This 1043-nucleotide long non-coding RNA is filed under the name Coturnix japonica (Japanese quail). RNAcentral describes it as "lncRNA (ENSCJPG00005011060.1)". Lineage: Eukaryota; Metazoa; Chordata; Aves; Galliformes; Phasianidae. The record is from RNAcentral.
GCUGGUUAUUGUCAGAGAGAGGAUUUUGGACUAGUUGGGCCUUCAUGGUUGCAAAAGAAUAGCAAAAUGUAAUGCUCAGUUUCAUAAUGGUCAUUUCUGGGUGUUGCAAGCAAACUCAGAGCACUUCUUUCAUGACAAUCUCUCUGCCUCAUCCCUCUCUACGGGGAGAAAUUUCAUUUUCUUGGAGGUACUUUGACAGCAAGGUUGACUAGUCCCAGUGCCAGGAGAGGCAGGAAGGGCAAUCUGAGCAAUCCCCAGAGCAAAAGAGGGCAUACAGGGAGGAAAGGUGAGAGCCAGAAUGGGAAAAGAUAUUCAGUAGGGACCUCCAUGGAUAUCUUUUGCUGCCUCUUUUCUUUUAAGUGUCCUUAUUUCAAACAUUAAGGUGUUUGUUAAGUAUAGAGAAAGCAAUUUCUUUGAAACUGGGUAUAACCUUGGAAAAUGACUCCAUUAUGAUCAUACUCUCAAAAAGCAGUUUGUGUUUCAUUUCCAUUUUGGCAGGUGUAUCAUGUGUUCCCCUAGAAGAAUUUUUUGUCUGGUAUAUUCAAAGAGACAUAAAGUAAGCUGAAAUCAUGCCAGACUAAGACCAAACAUGGUAAUACCAAUAACCCAAAUGAAGAUGUUUCCAUUUAUUAGCAUCUGCUCAAAAAGGAUUCACUGAGGGACGCCUUCAUAGCAUAUGGAUUAAGGUCUUCUUUUCCUAUCUACAGCUUUGCAUUACCAGCAUUUAUUGUCUUGUCUUAUUUUUGCAUCUUUCAUUCUGGCUGGCGUUCAAGGUAAUCUAAAAAUAAAUUUUAUCUGGCUGUAUUUCAGUUUCAGGUAGACGAAGGAUUUAUUGAUAUUCCCGUUCGUGCCACAACUUAUUGUCAUUGUGAUAUGAUGAGUAUAUGUGUGUGAGAGAGAGCAACAGAGGGAGAAAGGAGAGAGAUUUUUCCACCAUUUUACAUAUGUGGAGAAAACCUUGCUUCUUGUUCUUCUCAGAGUCCCUGAUGACCUGGCUUUCUCAUUAUGGCUUCAGUGCAAUAGAAGAAUGUACUCUCUUGUGA